This is a long non-coding RNA of Mauremys mutica (yellowpond turtle), 436 nucleotides long. RefSeq lists it as uncharacterized. Lineage: Eukaryota; Metazoa; Chordata; Testudines; Geoemydidae. The transcript has 3 exons. The record is from RefSeq and is a predicted model, not a curated record.
CUUCCACCUCAAGGUUUUGCCACCAAUUUUAAGGAUAGGAUUGCUCCAUAGGACUUCCUCUGCAUGACGCCUACAUUUCUGAAUCCGAGAGACCAGGAGGAUGGUGAAAGUUUAAAAUGAAAUCAAGAAGAAAGGAAGAUCUCAGUUCUACACAGGGUGCUAGACUGAACUCAGCCCUUGGCGGAGACUCAGGAGAAAGGGGUCUGUCCCUUAAGUCCCCUCAUUCCCUUGCGCAUAGGCUGGUCGCAAUCCCAGUCCCAAUCCUCAUGUUUGGAGAGCGCAUGGACUCUCUGAGUCUAACAUCAGUCGCAGCAUUGCACUGCCCAAAGUGCGUUGGUGAGCACAACAGAAUCGCCAGUCUGCAAAUACUCGCUGAGGCGCUGCUCAGCCGCAUCAAAAGAGGACUUGGGCUCCAAGAAUCCAUCAUAAACAUCAC